This 529-nucleotide long non-coding RNA is filed under the name Phoenix dactylifera (date palm). Its description in RNAcentral is "long non-coding RNA (PDAC_LNC006546)". The record is from RNAcentral. Lineage: Eukaryota; Viridiplantae; Streptophyta; Magnoliopsida; Arecales; Arecaceae.
UGGGGAGGCUCUCUCGGACGGAGAGGGUGCGGAGGGACAGAAAGUGGAACUAGACAAGGUGGGUGUCUUCCCCCAGCAGUUGCGGCCGGAGAUAGGGGCGGAUGAAGAGCUUAGAGUGGACACCGCCAGAGGCAGGGGCAUUGGAGACAGCCGAGGAUGGUGAGCUAGCACUUGAUGGAGUCACCGAGAGGGCAACAUGCGGAUGGAGAGAAGGCGAUGGGCGUAGCACCAUCGAACUCCCCCAUCGCCGCGGUCCUCAUGUACGACGGGCUAGAGUCUAGAGAGAGGAAGACGGCGGAUUGGGAUGCGAAACAUGGUAGAAUUACAAAGCACGUAACCUAUUCAAUGAAAUGCUCCAGAGAGAUGCCAUCUUGGAGUUCUAUGCAUGCCUCGCGAUUUUACAGUGCGACCUCUUUAAAAGGCCUUCAGGCGUUAUAUCUCAACCCAGCUCCCACCCUCCCUCCCUCAAGAUCCCUCUCUCCUCACCCUCUCCCUCCUCUUCAUUGUUGGAGUUUUAACUUGAAAAAAA